AUGAAAAACUGUUAGAAGACGAAUGCUAUGGUGAGGACACUCGACUACCAAACCUGACAGACCUGUCGGGAAAGCAGCUGUUCUUCAUCGCAGAUGCAAUGGUAUGGUGCAGUAAAAUGCGUGCAGCGAAGCGGCGCUCUCUGAUGCAGUACGACACGCACAGCCCCGAGAAAUAUAGAGUCAACGUACCAAUGGAAAACGUGAAAGAAUUUUCAGAGGUAUUCGAAUGCAAAAAUGAUUCGGCGAUGAACCCAUCAAACAAGUGCAGGUUGUGGUAAAGCACUUUCAUAUAGAGUGGGGAAGCAACUCAGCAAGAAAAAGGAGACCAUAACCCAUUACAGGCGUCAAGAACUGACGUAGACUCUCGAGAGAGCCACUCCCCAAAUAAAACAAAAACUUUUUCAUAAAUAAAACAAUCGACAUUU
Molecule: long non-coding RNA, 425 nt
Organism: Dermacentor andersoni
Lineage: Eukaryota; Metazoa; Arthropoda; Arachnida; Ixodida; Ixodidae
Source: RefSeq, a predicted model, not a curated record